RNAcentral lists this transfer RNA (96 nucleotides) under Nocardioidaceae bacterium. RNAcentral describes it as "tRNA-Sec". It matches the Rfam family "Selenocysteine transfer RNA". Lineage: Bacteria; Bacillati; Actinomycetota; Actinomycetes; Propionibacteriales; Nocardioidaceae. The record is from RNAcentral. RNAcentral also lists the same sequence under 2 other names.
GGAGGCGUGCGGUUGGCUGGUGCUGCCCCCGGUCUUCAACACCGGUGAGGUCCAGGAUCUGGGCCUGGUGGGUUCGAUUCCCAUCCGCCUCCGCCA